CCCUUAGAUGUCCUGGGCCGCACGCGUGCUACACUGACGCCUACAGCGAGUACUUCCCAGCCCCGAGAGGCGGCUGGUAAUCAGCAAUAGGCGUCGUGAUGGGGAUAGAUCUUUGGAAUUAUGGAUCUUGAACGAGGAAUGCCUAGUAAGCGCAGGUCAUUAGCCUGCGCUGAUUACGUCCCUGCCCUUUGUACACACCGCCCGUCGCUCCUACCGAGUGGGUGAUCCGGUGAACUAUUCGGACUCCGGUUAUUCCAGCAUUUGGUUUUGCUGGGGAAAGUUUCGUGAACCUUAUCACUUGGAGGAAGGAGAAGUCGUAACA
RNAcentral lists this ribosomal RNA (322 nucleotides) under uncultured eukaryote. RNAcentral describes it as "partial 18S ribosomal RNA". It matches the Rfam family "Eukaryotic small subunit ribosomal RNA", at positions 1470 to 1796 of the family's 1831-position model. The record is from RNAcentral.